AAUAAAGCGCAAUUUUUUUUGCUCUUCGGUUUCGGCCCGAAGCCCCGGAGAAUUUUCUCCCUUUAUUU
This 68-nucleotide transfer RNA is filed under the name Travisia sanrikuensis. Its description in RNAcentral is "tRNA-Arg". The record is from RNAcentral. Lineage: Eukaryota; Metazoa; Annelida; Polychaeta; Opheliidae.